Molecule: ribosomal RNA, 301 nt
Filed under: uncultured bacterium
Lineage: Bacteria
Description: partial 16S ribosomal RNA
Rfam family: Bacterial small subunit ribosomal RNA
Source: RNAcentral
CAGCCGCCGCGGUAAUACGUAGGUGGCAAGCGUUGUCCGGAUUUAUUGGGCGUAAAGCGAGCGCAGGCGGUCAAUUAAGUCUGAUGUGAAAGCCCCCGGCUCAACCGGGGAGGGUCAUUGGAAGCUGGUUGACUUGAGUGCAGAAGAGGAGAGUGGAAUUCCAUGUGUAGCGGUGAAAUGCGUAGAUAUAUGGAGGAACACCAGUGGCGAAGGCGACUCUCUGGUCUGUAACUGACGCUGAGGCUCGAAAGCGUGGGUAACAAACAGGAUUAGAUACCCGCGUAGUCCCUGUCUCUUAUAC